GCUGUCGUCAGCUCGUGUUGUGAAAUGUUGGGUUAAGUCCCGCAACGAGCGCAACCCUUAUCCUUUGUUGCCAGCGGUUAGGCCGGGAACUCAAAGGAGACUGCCAGUGAUAAACUGGAGGAAGGUGGGGAUGACGUCAAGUCAUCAUGGCCCUUACGAGUAGGGCUACACACGUGCUACAAUGGCGCAUACAAAGAGAAGCGACCUCGCGAGAGCAAGCGGACCUCAUAAAGUGCGUCGUAGUCCGGAUUGGAGUCUGCAACUCGACUCCAUGAAGUCGGAAUCGCUAGUAAUCGUGUC
RNAcentral lists this ribosomal RNA (300 nucleotides) under uncultured bacterium. Its description in RNAcentral is "bacterial SSU rRNA". It matches the Rfam family "Bacterial small subunit ribosomal RNA", at positions 1048 to 1348 of the family's 1533-position model. The record is from RNAcentral.